This 467-nucleotide ribosomal RNA is filed under the name uncultured bacterium. RNAcentral describes it as "partial 16S ribosomal RNA". It matches the Rfam family "Bacterial small subunit ribosomal RNA", at positions 29 to 507 of the family's 1533-position model. The record is from RNAcentral.
ACGAACGCUGGCGGCGUGCUUAACACAUGCAAGUCGCACGGAAAGGCCCUGCUUUUGUGGGGUGCUCGAGUGGCGAACGGGUGAGUAACACGUGAGUAACCUGCCCUUGACUUUGGGAUAACUUCAGGAAACUGGGGCUAAUACCGGAUAGGAGCUCCGGCUGCAUGGUGGGGGUUGGAAAGUUUCGGCGGUUGGGGAUGGACUCGCGGCUUAUCAGCUUGUUGGUGGGGUAGUGGCUUACCAAGGCUUUGACGGGUAGCCGGCCUGAGAGGGUGACCGGCCACAUUGGGACUGAGAUACGGCCCAGACUCCUACGGGAGGCAGCAGUGGGGAAUAUUGCACAAUGGGCGGAAGCCUGAUGCAGCAACGCCGCGUGCGGGAUGACGGCCUUCGGGUUGUAAACCGCUUUCGCCUGUGACGAAGCGUGAGUGACGGUAAUGGGUAAAGAAGCACCGGCUAACUACGUG